RNAcentral lists this ribosomal RNA (795 nucleotides) under uncultured bacterium. RNAcentral's name for it is "bacterial SSU rRNA". It matches the Rfam family "Bacterial small subunit ribosomal RNA", at positions 8 to 798 of the family's 1533-position model. The record is from RNAcentral.
AGAGUUUGAUCAUGGCUCAGAUUGAACGCUGGCGGCAGGCCUAACACAUGCAAGUCGAGCGGUAGAGAGAAGCUUGCUUCUCUUGAGAGCGGCGGACGGGUGAGUAAUGCCUAGGAAUCUGCCUGGUAGUGGGGGAUAACGUCCGGAAACGGACGCUAAUACCGCAUACGUCCUACGGGGGAAAGCAGGGGACCUUCGGGCCUUGCGCUAUCAGAUGAGCCUAGGUCGGAUUAGCUAGUUGGUGGGGUAAUGGCUCACCAAGACGACGAUCUGUAACUGGUCUGAGAGGAUGAUCAGUCACACUGGAACUGAGACACGGUCCAGACUCCUACGGGAGGCAGCAGUGGGGAAUAUUGGACAAUGGGCGAAAGCCUGAUCCAGCCAUGCCGCGUGUGUGAAGAAGGUCUUCGGAUUGUAAAGCACUUUAAGUUGGGAGGAAGGGCAGUAAAUUAAUACUUUGCUGUUUUGACGUUACCGACAGAAUAAGCACCGGCUAACUCUGUGCCAGCAGCCGCGGUAAUACAGAGGGUGCAAGCGUUAAUCGGAAUUACUGGGCGUAAAGCGCGCGUAGGUGGUUCGUUAAGUUGGAUGUGAAAUCCCCGGGCUCAACCUGGGAACUGCAUUCAAAACUGACGAGCUAGAGUAUGGUAGAGGGUGGUGGAAUUUCCUGUGUAGCGGUGAAAUGCGUAGAUAUAGGAAGGAACACCAGUGGCGAAGGCGACCACCUGGACUGAUACUGACACUGAGGUGCGAAAGCGUGGGGAGCAAACAGGAUUAGAUACCCCGGUAGUCCAA